Molecule: ribosomal RNA, 435 nt
Filed under: uncultured bacterium
Lineage: Bacteria
Description: bacterial SSU rRNA
Rfam family: Bacterial small subunit ribosomal RNA
Source: RNAcentral
AACGCGAAGAACCUUACCGGGGUUUGAACCGUACGGGACCGCUGCAGAGAUGUAGCUUUCCUUCGGGACCCGUAUAGAGGUGCUGCAUGGCUGUCGUCAGCUCGUGCCGUGAGAUGUUGGGUUAAGUCCCGCAACGAGCGCAACCCUCGUCCUAUGUUGCCAGCGGGUAAUGCCGGGGACUCAUAGGAGACCGCCGGGGUCAACGCGGAGGAAGGUGGGGAUGAUGUCAAGUCAUCAUGCCCCUUAUGUCUUGGGCUUCACACAUGCUACAAUGGCCGGUACAAAGGGCUGCUAAACCGCAAGGUGGAGCGAAUCCCAAAAAGCCGGUCUCAGUUCGGAUUGGGGUCUGCAACUCGACCCCAUGAAGUCGGAGUCGCUAGUAAUCGCAGAUCAGCAACGCUGCGGUGAAUACGUUCCCGGGCCUUGUACACACCG